This 417-nucleotide ribosomal RNA is filed under the name uncultured bacterium. RNAcentral describes it as "bacterial SSU rRNA". It matches the Rfam family "Bacterial small subunit ribosomal RNA", at positions 29 to 489 of the family's 1533-position model. The record is from RNAcentral.
AGCGAACGCUGGCGGCAGGCUUAACACAUGCAAGUCGAGCGGGCACCUUCGGGUGUCAGCGGCAGACGGGUGAGUAACACGUGGGAACGUACCCUUUGGUUCGGAACAACUCUGGGAAACUGGAGCUAAUACCGGAUACGCCCUUUUGGGGAAAGGUUUACCGCCGAAGGAUCGGCCCGCGUCUGAUUAGCUAGUUGGUGAGGUAAUGGCUCACCAAGGCGACGAUCAGUAGCUGGUCUGAGAGGAUGAUCAGCCACACUGGGACUGAGACACGGCCCAGACUCCUACGGGAGGCAGCAGUGGGGAAUAUUGGACAAUGGGCGCAAGCCUGAUCCAGCCAUGCCGCGUGAGUGAUGAAGGCCUUAGGGUUGUAAAGCUCUUUUGUCCGGGACGAUAAUGACGGUACCGGAAGAAUAA